GCGCACCAGUCGAGAAACUCCGCAAUGCCCGAAAGGGUGACGGGGAUUCCAAGUGCCUACGCUUAGCGUAGGCUGUUCAGGUGCCUAAAAAGCACCUGGAGGAAGGGCUGGGUAAGACGGGUGCCAGCCGCCGCGGUAAUACCCGCAGCCCGAGUGGUAGUCGCUUUUAUUGGGCCUAAAGCGUCCGUAGCCGGUCUGGUAAAUGCCUGGGUAAAUCGUGGGGCUUAACCUCACGAAUUCCGGGUAGACUGCCAGACUUGGGACCGGUUGAGGGAGAGGGUACUCCAGGGGUAGGGGUGAAAUCAGCAAGGUAAGCUGAUGUAACUUGCCUUGCAAGUCACAAUCCUGUAAUCCUUGGAGGACCACCGGUGGCGAAAGCGCUCUCCUAGGACGGGUCCGACGGUGAAGGACGAAAAGCCAGGGGAGCAAAACCGGAUUAGAUACCCCCGUAGU
This 453-nucleotide ribosomal RNA is filed under the name uncultured microorganism. RNAcentral's name for it is "bacterial SSU rRNA". It matches the Rfam family "Archaeal small subunit ribosomal RNA", at positions 330 to 745 of the family's 1478-position model. The record is from RNAcentral.